GACGAACGCUGGCGGCGUGCUUAACACAUGCAAGUCGAACGGAAAGGCCCUGCGGGGUUCUCGUGCUGGGGACGGGAGAGUGAGAGGAGGAUGAUCGGCACCGCACUUUGGGAUAAGCAUGGGUAACUGGGACUAAUGCCAAAACUGGACAUCGGCUUCUUCGUCGGGGGUGGGGAGGUUUUGCGGUGGGGGAUGGGCCCGCGGCCUAUCAGCUUGUUGGUGGGGUAGUGGCCUACCAAGGCGACGACGGGUAGCCGGCCUGAGAGGGUGACCGGCCACACUGGGACUGAGAUACGGCCCAGACUCCUACGGGAGGCAGCAGUGGGGAAUAUUGCACAAUGGGCGCAAGCCUGAUGCAGCGACGCCGCGUGAGGGAUGACGGCCUUCGGGUUGUAAACCGCUUUCAGCAGAGACGAAGCGCAAGUGACGGUAUGUGGAGAAGAAGGACCGGCCAACUACGUG
RNAcentral lists this ribosomal RNA (462 nucleotides) under uncultured bacterium. Its description in RNAcentral is "partial 16S ribosomal RNA". It matches the Rfam family "Bacterial small subunit ribosomal RNA", at positions 28 to 507 of the family's 1533-position model. The record is from RNAcentral.